Molecule: non-coding RNA, 31 nt
Filed under: Homo sapiens (human)
Lineage: Eukaryota; Metazoa; Chordata; Mammalia; Primates; Hominidae
Source: RNAcentral
UGUGCUAUGAUUGUGCCACUGCAGUCUAGUC